AUUUCACUCUCUCUCUGUAAUUUUAGAGAGAGAAAUUUCUCUCUCUUCUCUCUGUUUCGUGUUGUUUGCCUCUCUCAAAUUCAAUGAGCCUUUUUUACUCUAGCAGGCUUUCCCUACUUCCAAGCAGGGGAAGACUUUGUUCUCUAGCUUAGAUUGUGAUUAGCCCUUCCCAUCUGAGUUGUGUUGUGUGUAUAUGAGUUUUGGUUUGUGUUUGUCUUAAAGGUCUGGAGGAAAAUAGAGAAGGUAUCUUUGAAGACAUAUGUUUGGGUUUCCUUUUGGUUAUAAUUGAGUCUAGGAGGUCAUCGAUGUGCGAUGGCUUCUAUCUCCAUGGAGGAAUCCUUAUUGUUACAGUGGUGGGUAUCUCAAAUUGCCCUUGAGUCAACCUCCUUUGUGGCAGCCGAUCCUCCAGGCUAUACAAGAUUGAGAGCUUUCUUGUUGCCAGCAAUGCUUCUGUUUCUCUUCUUUCCCAAUUACCAAACUAAAUCUAGCUCUAGGAGGUCUGGCAGCGCCACAAGGGAUUUGGUUGAUGGUUGUUCUCGUCUGCUAAGGCAACUGUUUAAUGGAUUGGAGUUUUUCUGUGAUGAGUUGGUUUUUUGGGCCCCCAAGCCUUUCUCUAGUGUGUUGAAUUUAAUGUAUUGUCGGGCCAUGUAAUGCAACAGUUACA
This 664-nucleotide unclassified non-coding RNA is filed under the name Hevea brasiliensis (rubber tree). The record is from RNAcentral. Lineage: Eukaryota; Viridiplantae; Streptophyta; Magnoliopsida; Malpighiales; Euphorbiaceae.